UUUUAAAAUAAUAAUAAUAUUAAAAAAUAAUAUUUUAAAUUUUCACUAUGGUGCUACAUGUGUAAAAAGAGUGGGGAAUCGGUAGAUCACUUGCUCUUACAUUGUGAGGUGGCUGGGGAGCUUUGGGCUGGUAUUCUUAGUAGAGUUGGGCUAAGUUGGGCUAUGC
This is a long non-coding RNA of Juglans microcarpa x Juglans regia, 166 nucleotides long. RefSeq lists it as uncharacterized. The transcript is spliced from 3 exons. NCBI's taxonomy places the organism in Eukaryota, Viridiplantae, Streptophyta, Magnoliopsida, Fagales, Juglandaceae. The record is from RefSeq and is a predicted model, not a curated record.